CACGUAGGGUGCGAGCGUUGUCCGGAAUUACUGGGCGUAAAGAGCUCGUAGGUGGUUUGUCGCGUUGUUCGUGAAAACUCACAACUCAAUUGUGGGCGUGCGGGCGAUACGGGCAGACUGGAGUACUGCAGGGGAGACUGGAAUUCCUGGUGUAGCGGUGGAAUGCGCAGAUAUCAGGAGGAACACCGGUGGCGAAGGCGGGUCUCUGGGCAGUAACUGACGCUGAGGAGCGAAAGCGUGGGGAGCGAACAGG
Molecule: ribosomal RNA, 253 nt
Filed under: uncultured bacterium
Lineage: Bacteria
Description: partial 16S ribosomal RNA
Rfam family: Bacterial small subunit ribosomal RNA
Source: RNAcentral